GAAGCUCUAGAGCAUGUAGGGCUCCUGCUCUCCACCUGACAGCUCCUUGUCCCUCCCUGGGCCUGUCAAAUCCUGCAGAACUACUCCUCCCUGCAUGCCAUCCUCACGGCUCUGCAGAGUGUCUCAAUUCAUCGCCUGAAGAAGACAUAGCAGAACGUUUCCAGGAAGAGCUUUCAAAACUUUAAAGAGCUGUGUGCAGAAGACAACCCCCAGGGCAGGAAACUGCUCAUCAAAGUAGCAUGGAAGGUGCAGGAGUGGCCAUCUAAUAAAUUUGCCAGCCUGGUGAUGGACCUCCAGAGAGCCUGGAAGAGGGUGCAGAAGAAGG
Molecule: non-coding RNA, 325 nt
Organism: Leptonychotes weddellii (Weddell seal)
Lineage: Eukaryota; Metazoa; Chordata; Mammalia; Carnivora; Phocidae
Source: RefSeq, a predicted model, not a curated record